GACGAACGCUGGCGGCGUGCUUAACACAUGCAAGUCGAACGGCAAGGCCCUGCUUUUGUGGGGUGCUCGAGUGGCGAACGGGUGAGUAACACGUGAGUAACCUGCCCUUGACUUUGGGAUAACUUCAGGAAACUGGGGCUAAUACCGGAUAGGAGCUCCUGCUGCAUGGUGGGGGUUGGAAAGUUUCGGCGGUUGGGGAUGGACUCGCGGCUUAUCAGCUUGUUGGUGGGGUAGUGGCUUACCAAGGAUUUGACGGGUAGCCGGCCUGAGAGGGUGACCGGCCACAUUGGGACUGAGAUACGGCCCAGACUCCUACGGGAGGCAGCAGUGGGGAAUAUUGCACAAUGGGCGGAAGCCUGAGGCAGCAACGCCGCGUGCGGGAUGACGGCCUUCGGGUUGUAAACCGCUUUCGCCUGUGACGAAGCGUGAGUGACGGUAAUGGGUAAAGAAGCACCGGCUAACUACGUG
RNAcentral lists this ribosomal RNA (468 nucleotides) under uncultured bacterium. Its description in RNAcentral is "partial 16S ribosomal RNA". It matches the Rfam family "Bacterial small subunit ribosomal RNA", at positions 28 to 507 of the family's 1533-position model. The record is from RNAcentral.